GUCGAGCGGUAGCACAGGAGAGCUUGCUCUCUGGGUGACGAGCGGCGGACGGGUGAGUAAUGUCUGGGAAACUGCCUGAUGGAGGGGGAUAACUACUGGAAACGGUAGCUAAUACCGCAUAACGUCUACGGACCAAAGUGGGGGACCUUCGGGCCUCACGCCAUCAGAUGUGCCCAGAUGGGAUUAGCUAGUAGGUGGGGUAAUGGCUCACCUAGGCGACGAUCCCUAGCUGGUCUGAGAGGAUGACCAGCCACACUGGAACUGAGACACGGUCCAGACUCCUACGGGAGGCAGCAGUGGGGAAUAUUGCACAAUGGGCGCAAGCCUGAUGCAGCCAUGCCGCGUGUGUGAAGAAGGCCUUAGGGUUGUAAAGCACUUUCAGCGAGGAGGAAGGGUUCAGUGUUAAUAGCACUGUGCAUUGACGUUACUCGCAGAAGAAGCACCGGCUAACUCCGUGCCAGCAGCCGCGGUAAUACGGAGGGUGCAAGCGUUAAUCGGAAUUACUGGGCGUAAAGCGCACGCAGGCGGUUUGUUAAGUCAGAUGUGAAAUCCCCGCGCUUAACGUGGGAACUGCAUUUGAAACUGGCAAGCUAGAGUCUUGUAGAGGGGGGUA
This 613-nucleotide ribosomal RNA is filed under the name Serratia sp. (in: enterobacteria). Its description in RNAcentral is "bacterial SSU rRNA". It matches the Rfam family "Bacterial small subunit ribosomal RNA", at positions 61 to 663 of the family's 1533-position model. Lineage: Bacteria; Pseudomonadati; Pseudomonadota; Gammaproteobacteria; Enterobacterales; Yersiniaceae. The record is from RNAcentral.